RNAcentral lists this ribosomal RNA (492 nucleotides) under uncultured bacterium. RNAcentral describes it as "partial 16S ribosomal RNA". It matches the Rfam family "Bacterial small subunit ribosomal RNA", at positions 30 to 507 of the family's 1533-position model. The record is from RNAcentral.
AGCGAACGCUGGCGGCAUGCCUAACACAUGCAAGUCGAACGGCAGCUCAGUAAGUGCUUGCUCUUACGGGCGGCGAGUGGCGGACGGGGGAGGAAGACAUCGGAAUCUACUCUUUCGGGGGGGAUAACGUAGGGAAACUUACGCUAAUACCGCAUACGACGUACGGGUGAAAGCAGGGGAUCUUUGGACCUUGCGCGAUUGAAUGAGCCGAUGUUGGAUUAGCUAGUUGGCUGGGUAAAGGCCCACCAAGGCGACGAUCGGAAGCGGGUCUGAGGGGAAGAUCAGCCACACGGGAACUGAGACAGGGUCGAGACUCCUAGGGGGGGAAGCGGUGGGGAAUAUUGGACAAGGGGGGAAAGCCUGAUCCAGGAAUACGGCGUAGGUGAAGAAGGCGUUAUGGCUGUAAAGUCCUUUUGUUGGGAGGGAUGUGCAGCAGGUUAACACGGCGCUGUAAUGACGGUACCCAAAGAAUAAGCACCGGCUAACUUCGUG